Molecule: long non-coding RNA, 986 nt
Organism: Microplitis demolitor
Lineage: Eukaryota; Metazoa; Arthropoda; Insecta; Hymenoptera; Braconidae
Exons: 4
Source: RefSeq, a predicted model, not a curated record
CAAAGAGUAAAUAAAAAUGAAGGAAACAUAAAUUCAAGAAUAUUUACUUGGUGGAAUUAUGAAAAAGGUUACACACUAAGGCAACAUCUUGGCUACGUUAUCGUGGUGGUCGAGAGUUAACGGAACAAGUUGCGUAUACUCGUUCAUCGUAUGGGAAAAGAUGUCCCGUUCCGUUUUAUUUGGCCAAGAAUGCCCGAAACUACAUACUUGUAUAGACUUUUGAUGCUGAUUCAUCAUAAAAUUCAUCAUCAGUAAUUGCGCACAGUAAAAAACAUUGCGUAUCUCUGUUAAAAAAGGACAAAUGAAUAAAAAGAGACGGAAUGAAGAAUAGAAAUAGAAACAAGGAGCGGCUUAGGUAACUCUGUUGUCGACGUUUAGAUGCAGCAGGUACCGCAUUUAUAUAAGAUUGUAGACACCGACUUAGAGAUCACAAGCUUCGUAAAUAUACCUGUUGUUCCAAGUCUACUGAUAUAUAACUAAGACGGUUAGUUAGUUAUACUUUAUGGCUGUCUACAACGAGGCAUUAUACACAGAAAAAAGGAUUAUACCCCAAGAAAUAGUGGAAAAGUUAUAGAAAAUUCACACACUGUUUGCGGUAACCUGAAUCACAAUUUAUAGUACAGGUGACUUCCAUUAACUCGGAACUUCUCCUGAAUAUUGACCCCCACUAAGAGCUACGCUGUCUCCCACCCAAUGCUAUACAUUGGUAUGUUCUGUGUAUGUUUAAUCAUGCAUUAUUCAUGUAGAGUGUGCGCAUGCGCAGUAGUUCACUUUUUAAAGAAGAAGGGGCAUUCGAUAAGUCGAAAUUUUCAUGAAAUUUCCUCCCCUCCAUAGACUAACUGUCUGUUAAUGGAAUUCGACUGUUCUACUAAUCGGCAAGUAAAAAAAUCUGUAGAAUUUUUUAAGUGAAAUUUUACUACAUUUGAUGUAAAAUAAUUACUAAUUUGUAGUUAAAAUAUCACUAAUUGUAGUAAAUUGGACUACAC